Molecule: ribosomal RNA, 2493 nt
Filed under: Triticum aestivum (bread wheat)
Lineage: Eukaryota; Viridiplantae; Streptophyta; Magnoliopsida; Poales; Poaceae
Description: partial small subunit ribosomal RNA
Source: RNAcentral
AUGUGGUGUCUAGACAGUGUGCAGACAGCAAGGCAGAGAGCACAUUUUCUACACCCAUCCAUAUGCAUUCCCAUUUCAGCCGAUAGGGCUACCAGAAUUCUCAUCAUCACCACAGCUCAAAAAAGUUCUCCUGAGCGAGCUACCAUUCAGCGCUCAGGCACCCAAAGUACCUUACCCAAGGAUACGAGAGUCAUGCUUCUCAAGCCUUACCACUUGGUCGCUCCGCUAGUCCUGCUCCUCAUGGCCGCCGGCAGCAGCGGCGGCAGCGAUGAUGGUCGGCAGUUCGCUCUCAACGGCUUCGCGGGCGCGAACCUGACGCUCGGCGGCGCAAGCACGGUCAUGCCGAACGGCCUGCUCAUGCUGAACAACGGCGCCACCAGAAAGAUGAAGGGCCAUGCCUUCCAUCCGUCCCCGCUGCCGUUCGGCGCCGGGUCAAACGGCACCGGCCCCGUGCGGUCCUUCUCGACCACCUUCGUCUUCGCCAUCUUCGGCCACGGCCAGCACGCCGACCUUAGCGUCCGCGGUCUGGUCUUUUUCGUCUCUGCGUCCUGGGAGGUGCUCUCCACUGCGUUGGCAGGCCAGUCCUUGGGCCUCAACAAUGGCAACCAGAGCGCCAGCAUCUUCGCCGUGGAGUUCGACACGAUCUAUAAUGCCGAGUUCCGAGACAUCAACAGGUACGUCGGCGUUGACGGUGAUAGCCUAGUGUCCCUCAGUUCCGCCAACACCGGGUACUAUGAUGACGACACCGGGCGGUUACUAAACCUAUCUGUGAUAAGCUGGAAAGCCAUCCAAGUGUGGGUGGACUACGACAGCAGGGCAAAGAUUUUCACUAUGACCAUGGCUCCGCUGGGCAUGGUCAGGCCCAAGAGGCCCAUGUUGCAGACCACCAUUGACCUCUCUGGCGUGGUGCAGAGCAUGGCGUACGUCGGCUUUUCAUCGGCGAUGCACAAUAUCACCUCCGGACACUUCAUCCUCGGCUGGAGCUUCGCGCUGGACGGGCCGGCCCCGGUUCUGGACAUCUCGGUGCUGCCGACCUUGCCAUCGGCCUGGACCAAGAACAACCAGUCCAUCUCACAACCAUCCAUGUCCAUGUCGCUGAAGCUCGGGCUGGCCUUAGCAUCGGUGACGCUGGUUUUGGUUGGCAUCGGAAUCUACAUCUCUUCAAGACGACGUCUCAAUUGCUCCGAGGUGCAAGAGGACUGGGAGGGUGUGCUUCGCAAGCCUGACGUGGAGGUUGCAGUGAAGAGAAUGUCACAUGAUUCAAGGCAAGGGGUUAAGGAGUUCAUCGCCGAGGUGGUGAGCAUUGGUCGUCUUCGACACCGAAAUAUCGCACAGUUGUUGGGCUACUCCAGGCGUAAGGGUGAACUUCUCUUGGUUUAUGACUACAUGAAAAAUGGUAGUCUUGACAAGUACCUACACACAAGAAAUGGCCCAACUCUAUGUUGGUCCCAGAGGUAUUCAAUCAUCAAAGGUGUGGCAUCAAGCUUAUUGUAUCUACAUGAGGAAUGGGAGCAGGUCAUCAUCCACCGAGAUAUAAAGGCAAGUAAUGUGCUCUUGGACACCAAGAUGAAUGGACGGUUGGGUGAUUUUGGUCUUGCAAGGAUAUAUGACCACGAAACUGCCGCUGAAACCACCCAUGUGGCUGGCACCCUGGGAUAUCUUGCACCAAAACUCCCGCGCGCCGGGAGGCUAACACCUUUCUCUGAUGUAUAUGCAUUUGGCGUAUUUCUCCUAGAGGUCACAUGUGGACGAAGGCCAAUCUUCAUCGAUGAGCAAAACAACCGGGUAUUGUUGGUCGAAUGGGUCCUUGAGCACCACCACAAUGGAUCAAUGCCCGACACGGUGGAUCCACGACUCGGAGGGGAAUUCAACACGGAGGAGGUAACCAUCGUGCUCAAACUAGGUUUACUAUGCACGUACCCAUCACCCACUGCACGGCCUAUCAUGCGAAAGGUCAUGCAGUACCUCGAACAUGGUCAAUCGCUUCCUGAUUUAUCUCCGGCCUACAUAAGCUACGUAAUGAUGGCCCAAAUGCAAAAUGAAGGAUUUGAUUCACACAACAAGCCAUGUUCUCAGCCCGCAAUGAGUGUCGCCACUGUAUCGGUACAAGUGGUUAAGAAAGAUUUCAUGCAUAGCUUUGAAGUGUACCUUCACUGGUCGAUCAGUUCAAACGGCCGACUUGAGUCAAUGGCUACUACUACGUGCCAGGCGUGCACGCGCCGUUGUGUGUCCUUUGAUUUGAGCAUCGAUCGAGCACCUAUGGGGAUUGGGGAAUUCAUGGAGCAGCCGGCUCGGCAGAGUGCUGCUCAGCUUUCGACGCUACUGUCAAGAUUCAAGGUCACCACAGACAGCAACGAGUCCAGCCACACCGAGCUGCCUGAGGCCGUCAUGGCCGGCCUCGUGGGCCUCCUUCGUCAGCUCACAUGUGUUUGGUUAUCCGGCAAGCGCUUGCUUUGCCUGGCCAAGCAAGGGAGCGAUGAAUUUGGUUUAUGA